RNAcentral lists this ribosomal RNA (304 nucleotides) under uncultured bacterium. RNAcentral's name for it is "bacterial SSU rRNA". It matches the Rfam family "Bacterial small subunit ribosomal RNA", at positions 30 to 334 of the family's 1533-position model. The record is from RNAcentral.
AUUGAACGCUGGCGGCAUGCCUUACACAUGCAAGUCGAACGGUAACAGGGAGCUUGCUCCGCUGACGAGUGGCGAACGGGUGAGUAAUGUAUCGGAACGUACCUUUCAGUGGGGGAUAACGUAGCGAAAGUUACGCUAAUACCGCAUAUUCUGUGCGCAGGAAAGCAGGGGAUCGCAAGACCUUGCGCUGAUUGAGCGGCCGAUAUCAGAUUAGCUAGUUGGUGGGGUAAAAGCUCACCAAGGCGACGAUCUGUAGCGGGUCUGAGAGGAUGAUCCGCCACACUGGAACUGAGACACGGUCCAG